UUGCUUUUAAACCCUUUUAGGAAUUUCAAAAUCAGCUCAAUGGAUAAUGACAAAAGUGUUAACUUCUGUGACACCAUUCUCUAAAGAUGAAACCAUAAUGUCAUCAGGGGUGGUGUUAAAUGCCAGACUGAAGAGAAAGUGGAAGAGACAGAUACGGUGGAAUGCAAGGAUACUGGACCCCUGAGAGCAGCCUGUUGUCAUUGCUUGGCAUUUACAGCAUCUGUAAUUCAUUAGCUAUUCUUUUCUUUUUUAAUGAGGAAACAGAAAGGAGAUCAAGGAAUGAGCUCAAAGCAACCAAAAAAAUCUUUUCAGUAGUAAGAUAAACAAAUGUUACCAUGAGUCUGAAAGCUAGAAUUCUACAAGGGGAAGAAAUAU
RNAcentral lists this long non-coding RNA (375 nucleotides) under Homo sapiens (human). RNAcentral's name for it is "long non-coding RNA NONHSAT246361". Lineage: Eukaryota; Metazoa; Chordata; Mammalia; Primates; Hominidae. The record is from RNAcentral.